Molecule: ribosomal RNA, 491 nt
Filed under: uncultured bacterium
Lineage: Bacteria
Description: partial 16S ribosomal RNA
Rfam family: Bacterial small subunit ribosomal RNA
Source: RNAcentral
GUGAACGCUGGCGGUAGGCCUAACACAUGCAAGUCGAACGGCAGCACAGUAAGAGCUUGCUCUUACGGGUGGCGAGUGGCGGACGGGUGAGGAAUACAUCGGAAUCUACUUUUUCGUGGGGGAUAACGUAGGGAAACUUACGCUAAUACCGCAUACGACCUACGGGUGAAAGCAGGGGAUCUUCGGACCUUGCGCGAUUGAAUGAGCCGAUGUCGGAUUAGCUAGUUGGCGGGGUAAAGGCCCACCAAGGCGACGAUCCGUAGCUGGUCUGAGAGGAUGAUAAGCCACACUGGAACUGAGACACGGACCAGACUCCUACGGGAGGCAGCAGUGGGGAAUAUUAGACAAUGGGCGGAAGCAUGAUCCAGCCAUACCGCGUGGGUGAAGAAGGCCUUGGGGUUGUAAAGCCCUUUUGUUGGGAAAGAAAAGCAGCAGGUUAAUACCACGCUGUUCUGACGGUACCCAAAGAAUAAGCACCGGCUAACUUCGUG